GCUUAACACAUGCAAGUCGAGCGGUAAGGCCCUUCGGGGUACACGAGCGGCGAACGGGUGAGUAACACGUGGGUGAUCUGCCUUGCACUCUGGGAUAAGCCUGGGAAACUGGGUCUAAUACCGGAUAUGACCAUUGGUUGCAUGAUCGGUGGUGGAAAGAUUUAUCGGUGCGAGAUGGGCCCGCGGCCUAUCAGCUUGUUGGUGGGGUAAUGGCCUACCAAGGCGACGACGGGUAGCCGGCCUGAGAGGGCGACCGGCCACACUGGGACUGAGACACGGCCCAGACUCCUACGGGAGGCAGCAGUGGGGAAUAUUGCACAAUGGGCGGAAGCCUGAUGCAGCGACGCCGCGUGAGGGAUGACGGCCUUCGGGUUGUAAACCUCUUUCGACAGGGACGAAGCGCAAGUGACGGUACCUGUAGAAGAAGCACCGGCCAACUACGUGCCAGCAGCCGCGGUAAUACGUAGGGUGCGAGCGUUGUCCGGAAUUACUGGGCGUAAAGAGCUUGUAGGCGGUUCGUCGCGUCGAUCGUGAAAACAUACAGCUCAACUGUGUGCUUGCGGUCGAUACGGGCGGACUAGAGUACUGCAGGGGAGACUGGAAUUC
Molecule: ribosomal RNA, 606 nt
Filed under: Nocardia vaccinii
Lineage: Bacteria; Bacillati; Actinomycetota; Actinomycetes; Mycobacteriales; Nocardiaceae
Description: bacterial SSU rRNA
Rfam family: Bacterial small subunit ribosomal RNA
Source: RNAcentral